Molecule: ribosomal RNA, 374 nt
Filed under: uncultured organism
Description: partial 16S ribosomal RNA
Rfam family: Bacterial small subunit ribosomal RNA
Source: RNAcentral
GUAGGUGGCAAGCGUUGUCCGGAAUUAUUGGGCGUAAAGCGCGCGCAGGCGGUUCUUUAAGUCUGAUGUGAAAGCCCACGGCUCAACCGUGGAGGGUCAUUGGAAACUGGAGAACUUGAGUACAGAAGAGGAAAGCGGAAUUCCACGUGUAGCGGUGAAAUGCGUAGAGAUGUGGAGGAACACCAGUGGCGAAGGCGGCUUUCUGGUCUGUAACUGACGCUGAGGCGCGAAAGCGUGGGGAGCAAACAGGGAUUAGAUACCCUGGUUGUCCACGCCGUAAACGAUGAGUGCUAAGUGUUAGGGGGGUUUCCGCCCCCUUAGUGCUGCAGCUAACGCAUUAAGCACUCCGCCUGGGGAGUACGGCCGCAAGGCUG